AGUGAACGCUGGCGGCGUGCCUAAUACAUGCAAGUCGAACGGAGAUUAAGUAGCUUGCUAUUUAAUCUUAGUGGCGCACGGGUGAGUAAUAUAUAGCUAAUCUGCCCUACACUAGAGGACAACAGUUGGAAACGACUGCUAAUACUCUAUACUCCUUCUUUACAUAAGUUAAGUCGGGAAAGUUUUUCGGUGUAGGAUGAGGCUAUAUCGUAUCAGCUAGUUGGUAGGGUAACGGCCUACCAAGGCUAUGACGCGUAACUGGUCUGAGAGGAUGAUCAGUCACACUGGAACUGAGACACGGUCCAGACUCCUACGGGAGGCAGCAGUAGGGAAUAUUGCUCAAUGGGGGAAACCCUGAAGCAGCAACGCCGCGUGGAGGAUGACACUUUUCGGAGCGUAAACUCCUUUUCUUGGGAAAGAAUUAUGACGGUACCCAAGGAAUAAGCACCGGCUAACUCCGUGCCAGCAGCCGCGGUAAUACGGAGGGUGCAAGCGUUACUCGGAAUCACUGGGCGUAAAGGACGCGUAGGCGGAUUAUCAAGUCUCUUGUGAAAUCUAACGGCUUAACCGUUAAACUGCUUGAGAAACUGAUAAUCUAGAGUAAGGGAGAGGCAGAUGGAAUUCUUGGUGUAGGGGUAAAAUCCGUAGAGAUCAAGAAGAAUACCCAUUGCGAAAGCGAUCUGCUGGAACUUAACUGACGCUAAUGCGUGAAAGCGUGGGGAGCAAACAGGAUUAGAUACCCUGGUAGUCCACGCCCUAAACGAUGUAUACUAGUUGUUGCUUCGCUAGUCGAGGCAGUAAUACACCUAACGGAUUAAGUAUACCGCCUGGGGAGUACGGUCGCAAGAUUAAAACUCAAAGGAAUAGACGGGGACCCGCACAAGCGGUGGAGCAUGUGGUUUAAUUCGAAGAUACGCGAAGAACCUUACCCGGACUUGAUAUCUAACAAAUCAUCCAGAGAUGGAAGAGUGUCUGCUUGCAGAAAUGUUAAGACAGGUGCUGCACGGCUGCCGUCAGCUCGUGUCGUGAGAUGUUGGGUUAAGUCCCGCAACGAGCGCAACCCACGUAUUUAGUUGCUAACGGUUAAGCCGAGCACUCUAAAUAGACUGCCUUCGUAAGGAGGAGGAAGGUGUGGACGACGUCAAGUCAUCAUGGCCCUUAUGUCCGGGGCGACACACGUGCUACAAUGGCGUAUACAAUAAGACGCAAUAUCGCGAGAUGGAGCAAAUCUAUAAAAUACGUCCCAGUUCGGAUUGGAGUCUGCAACUCGACUCCAUGAAGCCGGAAUCGCUAGUAAUCGUAGAUCAGCCAUGCUACGGUGAAUACGUUCCCGGGUCUUGUACUCACCGCCCGUCACACCAUGGGAGUUGAUUUCACUCGAAGCCCAAAUACCAAACCGGUUAUGGUCCACAGUGGAAUCAGCGACUGGGGUG
RNAcentral lists this ribosomal RNA (1433 nucleotides) under Campylobacter rectus. Its description in RNAcentral is "bacterial SSU rRNA". It matches the Rfam family "Bacterial small subunit ribosomal RNA". The record is from RNAcentral. Lineage: Bacteria; Pseudomonadati; Campylobacterota; Epsilonproteobacteria; Campylobacterales; Campylobacteraceae.